This 505-nucleotide ribosomal RNA is filed under the name uncultured bacterium. RNAcentral's name for it is "partial 16S ribosomal RNA". It matches the Rfam family "Bacterial small subunit ribosomal RNA", at positions 28 to 507 of the family's 1533-position model. The record is from RNAcentral.
GACGAACGCUGGCGGCGUGCCUAAUACAUGCAAGUAGAACGCACAGUGGAUACCGUAGCUUGCUACACCAGAGACUGUGAGUUGCGAACGGGUGAGUAACGCGUAGGUAACCUGCCUGGUAGCGGGGGAUAACUAUUGGAAACGAUAGCUAAUACCGCAUAAUAUUGAUUAUUGCAUGAUAAUUAAUUGAAAGGUGCAAUUGCACCACUACCAGAUGGACCUGCGUUGUAUUAGCUAGUAGGUGAGGUAACGGCUCACCUAGGCGACGAUACAUAGCCGACCUUGGAGGGUGAUCCGGCCCCAUUGGACUGAGACACCGCCCCGACCCCCUCCGGAGGCAGCAGUAGGGAAUCUUCGGACAUGGACCAAAGUCCGGACGAGCAAAGGCGGGUGAGUGAAGAAGGGUUUCGGAUCGUAAAGCUCUGUUGUAAGGGAAGAAAGGGUGUGAGAGUGGAAAGUUCCCGCUGUGACGGUAUCUUAACAGAAAGCGACGGCUAACUACGUG